Molecule: ribosomal RNA, 507 nt
Filed under: Bacillus sp. PASCW13
Lineage: Bacteria; Bacillati; Bacillota; Bacilli; Caryophanales; Bacillaceae
Description: bacterial SSU rRNA
Rfam family: Bacterial small subunit ribosomal RNA
Source: RNAcentral
GUACCUUGACGGUACCUAACCAGAAAGCCACGGCUAACUACGUGCCAGCAGCCGCGGUAAUACGUAGGUGGCAAGCGUUGUCCGGAAUUAUUGGGCGUAAAGCGCGCGCAGGUGGUUCCUUAAGUCUGAUGUGAAAGCCCACGGCUCAACCGUGGAGGGUCAUUGGAAACUGGGGAACUUGAGUGCAGAAGAGGAAAGUGGAAUUCCAAGUGUAGCGGUGAAAUGCGUAGAGAUNUGGAGGAACACCAGUGGCGAAGGCGACUNUCUGGUCUGUAACUGACACUGAGGCGCGAAAGCGUGGGGAGCGAACAGGAUUAGAUACCCUGGUAGUCCACGCCGUAAACGAUGAGUGCUAAGUGUUAGAGGGUUUCCGCCCUUUAGUGCUGCAGCAAACGCAUUAAGCACUCCGCCUGGGGAGUACGGUCGCAAGACUGAAACUCAAAGGAAUUGACGGGGGCCCGCACAAGCGGNGGAGCAUGUGGUUUAAUUCGAAAGCAACGCGAAGAA